This 253-nucleotide ribosomal RNA is filed under the name uncultured bacterium. RNAcentral's name for it is "partial 16S ribosomal RNA". It matches the Rfam family "Bacterial small subunit ribosomal RNA", at positions 524 to 776 of the family's 1533-position model. The record is from RNAcentral.
UACGGAGGGUGCAAGCGUUAUCCGGAUUCACUGGGUUUAAAGGGUGCGUAGGUGGGCAGGUAAGUCAGUGGUGAAAUCUUUGGGCUUAACCCGAAGACUGCCAUUGAUACUAUUUGUCUUGAAUAUUGUGGAGGUCAGCGGAAUAUGUCAUGUAGCGGUGAAAUGCUUAGAUAUGACAUAGAACACCAAUUGCGAAGGCAGCUGGCUACACAUAUAUUGACACUGAUGCACGAAAGCGUGGGGAUCAAACAGG